Molecule: ribosomal RNA, 1535 nt
Filed under: Klebsiella quasipneumoniae subsp. quasipneumoniae
Lineage: Bacteria; Pseudomonadati; Pseudomonadota; Gammaproteobacteria; Enterobacterales; Enterobacteriaceae
Description: bacterial SSU rRNA
Rfam family: Bacterial small subunit ribosomal RNA
Source: RNAcentral
UUGAAGAGUUUGAUCAUGGCUCAGAUUGAACGCUGGCGGCAGGCCUAACACAUGCAAGUCGAGCGGUAGCACAGAGAGCUUGCUCUCGGGUGACGAGCGGCGGACGGGUGAGUAAUGUCUGGGAAACUGCCUGAUGGAGGGGGAUAACUACUGGAAACGGUAGCUAAUACCGCAUAAUGUCGCAAGACCAAAGUGGGGGACCUUCGGGCCUCAUGCCAUCAGAUGUGCCCAGAUGGGAUUAGCUAGUAGGUGGGGUAACGGCUCACCUAGGCGACGAUCCCUAGCUGGUCUGAGAGGAUGACCAGCCACACUGGAACUGAGACACGGUCCAGACUCCUACGGGAGGCAGCAGUGGGGAAUAUUGCACAAUGGGCGCAAGCCUGAUGCAGCCAUGCCGCGUGUGUGAAGAAGGCCUUCGGGUUGUAAAGCACUUUCAGCAGGGAGGAAGGCGAUAAGGUUAAUAACCUUGUCGAUUGACGUUACCCGCAGAAGAAGCACCGGCUAACUCCGUGCCAGCAGCCGCGGUAAUACGGAGGGUGCAAGCGUUAAUCGGAAUUACUGGGCGUAAAGCGCACGCAGGCGGUCUGUCAAGUCGGAUGUGAAAUCCCCGGGCUCAACCUGGGAACUGCAUUCGAAACUGGCAGGCUAGAGUCUUGUAGAGGGGGUAGAAUUCCAGGUGUAGCGGUGAAAUGCGUAGAGAUCUGGAGGAAUACCGGUGGCGAAGGCGGCCCCCUGGACAAAGACUGACGCUCAGGUGCGAAAGCGUGGGGAGCAAACAGGAUUAGAUACCCUGGUAGUCCACGCCGUAAACGAUGUCGAUUUGGAGGUUGUGCCCUUGAGGCGUGGCUUCCGGAGCUAACGCGUUAAAUCGACCGCCUGGGGAGUACGGCCGCAAGGUUAAAACUCAAAUGAAUUGACGGGGGCCCGCACAAGCGGUGGAGCAUGUGGUUUAAUUCGAUGCAACGCGAAGAACCUUACCUGGUCUUGACAUCCACAGAACUUAGCAGAGAUGCUUUGGUGCCUUCGGGAACUGUGAGACAGGUGCUGCAUGGCUGUCGUCAGCUCGUGUUGUGAAAUGUUGGGUUAAGUCCCGCAACGAGCGCAACCCUUAUCCUUUGUUGCCAGCGGUCCGGCCGGGAACUCAAAGGAGACUGCCAGUGAUAAACUGGAGGAAGGUGGGGAUGACGUCAAGUCAUCAUGGCCCUUACGACCAGGGCUACACACGUGCUACAAUGGCAUAUACAAAGAGAAGCGACCUCGCGAGAGCAAGCGGACCUCAUAAAGUAUGUCGUAGUCCGGAUUGGAGUCUGCAACUCGACUCCAUGAAGUCGGAAUCGCUAGUAAUCGUAGAUCAGAAUGCUACGGUGAAUACGUUCCCGGGCCUUGUACACACCGCCCGUCACACCAUGGGAGUGGGUUGCAAAAGAAGUAGGUAGCUUAACCUUCGGGAGGGCGCUUACCACUUUGUGAUUCAUGACUGGGGUGAAGUCGUAACAAGGUAACCGUAGGGGAACCUGCGGUUGGAUCACCUCCUU